This 491-nucleotide ribosomal RNA is filed under the name Fragilidium cf. duplocampanaeforme. RNAcentral's name for it is "eukaryotic LSU rRNA". It matches the Rfam family "Eukaryotic large subunit ribosomal RNA", at positions 90 to 601 of the family's 3401-position model. The record is from RNAcentral. Lineage: Eukaryota; Dinophyceae; Gonyaulacales; Pyrophacaceae.
CGAAUGAAUGAGAAUUUUUUCAAUCUGACAAGUGGGGUUGAAAGCCUUGGCAUGUAGUGUAAAACUGCAUCACCAAUGGGGGUUUGAAUGAAUGCUUCUUGGAACAGAGCAGCAAUAAGGGUGAUACUCCUGUUUGCCAUUGAUAAAUCCUUGUGUACUGCAUGCAUGUGCUGACUCACACUUUUUGGGAAUGAAGUGCAAAUUGGGUGGUAAGUUUCAUUCAAAGAUGCAUAUAAGCUUGAGACUGAUAGUGCACAAGUACCUUGAGGGAAAAAUGAAAAGGACUUUGAAAAGAAAGUUAAAAGAGCCUUAACCUGCUGAGUGGAAAGCAAGCAGACACACUAAAUGUGUGAAAGAUUGCUGUUGUGGUGUACAUCUACUGCAUCAGUUGGUGUGGUGCAAACACAAUGGUGCAUCUUCUUACGUCGCCAUUGCUAAUUCAAUAAUGCGCAUUGAUUGGGAGUUAACACUAUUGCUUGCUGGCAAAGUGU